This 787-nucleotide ribosomal RNA is filed under the name Kibramoa sp. 1 ELG-2019. RNAcentral describes it as "partial large subunit ribosomal RNA". The stretch from base 496 to 787 matches the Rfam family "Eukaryotic large subunit ribosomal RNA", at positions 665 to 921 of the family's 3401-position model. Lineage: Eukaryota; Metazoa; Arthropoda; Arachnida; Araneae; Plectreuridae. The record is from RNAcentral.
AAAACGGGGGGGGCCCUUGAAAAUCUUUCUGGCGGGGGGAUUCAGUCAGGAAGAGCGGAGGUGCGUGCCGGUCGAUCCGAACGGACCCCUCGAAAGGCCGGGCCGGUCGCACGGUCUCCGUUUUACCUGACGCACUUCCUCCCGCACUACGGACGCCGCAGCCGGUUGGGUAGCUGCGCGAGUCGCCCAUAAGGGUAGGCGAUGGCAGGUGGCCGGUGGCGUCGCUUCGGCUUCGCCGCCGGUUGUUAGCCGGUUCUUGCCCGUGGCGCGACACCCGACCGAGGUUGAACGGUUCCCUCGACGGGAACUGGCCUUCCCCUCCCUUCGAGUAGCGGGCGUUACGGCAGGUGCGGCCAGGUGUUGCCUCGUCACUCCCCGUAGUGGCCGGCACUCCGAGCUCACUGCUGGUCGAAGCUGUCCCGCGGAGGGUUCUUUUUUUUACUGGGGCUGGCGGCGAGUAGGUCGGUCACCCACCCGACCCGUCUUGAAACACGGACCAAGGAGUCUAACAUGUGCGCGAGUCACGGGGUCUUGCUUAGGCCCAGAGGCGCAAUGAAAGUGAAGGCCGUCCUCGACGUCGGCUGUGUUGGGACUCUCCGCUCCCUGGCGGGCGGGGAAGCACCAACGACCCGUCCUAUCCGAUUCAUCGGUCGGGCGGAGUCUGAGCGUACACGUUGGGACCCGAAAGAUGGUGAACUAUGCCUGGGCAGGACGAAGCCAGAGGAAACUCUGGUGGAGGUCCGUAGCGGUUCYGACGUGCAAAUUCAUUCUUAGAACUGGGUUUAGG